RNAcentral lists this ribosomal RNA (207 nucleotides) under uncultured bacterium. Its description in RNAcentral is "partial 16S ribosomal RNA". It matches the Rfam family "Bacterial small subunit ribosomal RNA", at positions 568 to 774 of the family's 1533-position model. The record is from RNAcentral.
CGCGUAGGUGGUUUGAUAAGCGAGAUGUGAAAGCCCCGGGCUUAACCUGGGAACGGCAUUUCGAACUGUCAGGCUAGAGUAUGGUAGAGGAGUGUGGAAUUUCCUGUGUAGCGGCGAAAUGCGUAGAUAUAGGAAGGAACACCAGUGGCGAAGGCGGCACUCUGGACCAAUACUGACACUGAGGUGCGAAAGCGUGGGGAGCAAACA